Long non-coding RNA from Aphis gossypii (cotton aphid), 969 nucleotides. RefSeq lists it as uncharacterized. The transcript is spliced from 3 exons. Lineage: Eukaryota; Metazoa; Arthropoda; Insecta; Hemiptera; Aphididae. The record is from RefSeq and is a predicted model, not a curated record.
CAGAUAAAGUUACACUAUCGCCAUCUUUAAGAGUCACAAAUCGUAAUACUUUUAAUUCACAUAUUUUAGAAUCACAUAGUAGUAAGUUAUUCUUAAAAACUGUUUUAUGUAUAUGUCAAGCACAUUAUACUACUAUAUUUAUAUUAAAUAGUUUAUAGUAUUAGUGUAUCAAUAUGUAAAAUUAUAAUCACCAGGUGGCAGGUGCCGGGAAGUAAGAUUUAUGAAGAUAACUUACAUAUUUCAUACACCAUCAUCGCCUUUCAAAGUCAUAAACUAUAAUUUUUCUCGGCGCUUAUUGAAGAAUUUCAGGAUAGCGCAUCAUAAAGAGAAAAUAUCAAAAUGAAAACAACCGCAAGUCUAAAGAAACCACUACGUUUAAGAGAUCAAUUCAAAAUGAAUAUAAUGUAACUAAACGUUGCAAUACAUCAGAAGCAGUGACACAAAUGAACACGCAUAACGAAUCUACAAAAUGAAUGUAAAAAUUGCAGCACCUAUAAAAACGUAUAUUUUAUUAGGCGCGCCAUCUCACUUUUUUAAAAAGUCAAAAUUAAAUUAAGAUAAAAUUUAAUACAGUGAUAAUUAUCAUUUUAUGUAUAAUAUAAAUCAAAAGUAUACGAGUGUAUCUACUUAUUUUUAUAUUGUUUUUUAUUUUAAAUUACUUUCAUGAUUGAUUUAUAAUAUUUUAAAUUUAAUUACUAUAACGUACAGCUACCUAAACAGUAUUAAUAAGUAUUUAUAUAUAUCUGGAAUAUAUUAUACUGGUAUUUACUAUCUAGGUACAUAUGUAACUAUAGUAGAUUAGUAGAUUAUGAUGAAUCUCAGUUUUAUGGUAAAUUUAGUAAGUGCAUAGGUAAUACGUUGCCUUUAAUUAAAUACAUAUAACUACAGUAUUAUCAUGAUUUUUAUGCACAGCAAUAAUCAUCAUGUACAUUGCACAUAUUAAUAAUAUAUUAUAAAUAAAACACGCUA